Molecule: ribosomal RNA, 253 nt
Filed under: uncultured bacterium
Lineage: Bacteria
Description: partial 16S ribosomal RNA
Rfam family: Bacterial small subunit ribosomal RNA
Source: RNAcentral
UACAGAGGUCUCAAGCGUUGUUCGGAUUCAUUGGGCGUAAAGGGUGCGUAGGUGGUGAGGUAAGUCAGGUGUGAAAUCUCGGAGCUUAACUCCGAAACUGCAUUUGAUACUGCCUUGCUUGAGGACUGGAGAGGAGAUUGGAAUUCAUGGUGUAGCAGUGAAAUGCGUAGAUAUCAUGAGGAAGACCAGUGGCGAAGGCGGAUCUCUGGACAGUUCCUGACACUGAUGCACGAAUGCCAGGGGAGCAAACGGG